RNAcentral lists this ribosomal RNA (253 nucleotides) under uncultured bacterium. RNAcentral describes it as "partial 16S ribosomal RNA". It matches the Rfam family "Bacterial small subunit ribosomal RNA", at positions 524 to 776 of the family's 1533-position model. The record is from RNAcentral.
UACGUAGGGAGCAAGCGUUGUUCGGAUUUACUGGGCGUAAAGGGCGCGUAGGCGGCAAAUUAAGUCAGCUGUGAAAUCUCCGAGCUUAACUCGGAACGGUCAGCUGAUACUGAUCUGCUAGAGUGCGGAAGGGGCAAUCGGAAUUCUUGGUGUAGCAGUGAAAUGCGUAGAUAUCGAGAGGAACACCAGUGGCGAAGGCGAGUCCCUGGACACUUCCUGACACUGAGGCACGAAAGCUAGGGGAGCAAACAGG